UUGCAUAUUCCAAUAGCGGAGGAAAAGAAACCAACAGGGAUUGCCCCAGUAACGGCGAGUGAAGCGGCAACAGCUCAAAUUUGAAAUCUGGCCCCCCGCGGGCCCGAGUUGUACUUUGGAGAGGACGCUUCUGGCGCGGCGCCGUCCGAGUUCCCUGGAACGGGACGCCGGAGAGGGUGAGAGCCCCGUACGGGCGGCCGCCUAGCCUCUGCGAAGCUCCUUCGACGAGUCGAGUAGUUUGGGAAUGCUGCUCAAAAUGGGAGGUAAAUUUCUUCUAAAGCUAAAUACCGGCCAGAGACCGAUAGCGCACAAGUAGAGUGAUCGAAAGAUGAAAAGCACUUUGAAAAGAGGGUCAAACAGUACGUGAAAUUGUUGAAAGGGAAGCGCCUGUGGCCAGACUUGCGCCCCGCGGACCACCCGGCGCCUCGCGCGCCGGGGCACGCCAGCGGGGCGCAGGCCAGCAUCGGCUCUCUCGGGGGGACAAAGGCCGCGGGAACGUAGCGCCCUCGCGGCGUAUUAUAGCCCGCGGCGCCAUGCCCCCGGGGGGGCCGAGGACCGCGCUCCGGCAAGGAUGCUGGCGUAAUGGCCACCGGCGACCCGUCUUGA
Molecule: ribosomal RNA, 606 nt
Filed under: Harringtonia lauricola
Lineage: Eukaryota; Fungi; Ascomycota; Sordariomycetes; Ophiostomatales; Ophiostomataceae
Description: Raffaelea lauricola partial large subunit ribosomal RNA
Rfam family: Eukaryotic large subunit ribosomal RNA
Source: RNAcentral